UGGAGCCUCCUGACCUCAUGACGCAGAUCAGGUCCAGAACCGACCAGGUGACUCAGCAGGGUGAGAAGUGGACCUCAGGCAACAGAUGGACCUCCGGACACGGACAGGCUGUGUGACUGAAACAUUGUUUCCUGGAUUGCCUACUACUUAGAUAAUGGUUGGCAAGAGGAACACUGAAUCUGAAUGAACCACGGCUACGGAGCACCUUGGAUGGAGAUCAGAUAAACUCUUUUGAUGGUACAUUGCCUCUCGAAGUGCGAAUCUCACAGGCUGCCGCUCAGAAGGACAGCACCACUUCAGAAGCUGAACUGAGUCACUUCUCCCACCAUGAGCCAGUUCCUGGCACUUCUUCUGAGAAGCUUCUGUUUGACUUGUAGAAAUGUUGUUAUCAAAACCAGAAUAG
Long non-coding RNA from Terrapene triunguis (Three-toed box turtle), 403 nucleotides. RefSeq lists it as uncharacterized. NCBI's taxonomy places the organism in Eukaryota, Metazoa, Chordata, Testudines, Emydidae. The transcript has 3 exons. The record is from RefSeq and is a predicted model, not a curated record.